ACUUGGACUCAGACCCAAAUGCACCUAGAAGUGGAAAUGGUGAAGAUGGUGUUGAGUGUUUUGCUCUUCUCUGGGCCUCACUUUCCUUAUCUGGGCAAUGGGAUCAUAAUCCCUGUUCUACCUGCCUCACAGGACUGUUUGAGUGAUCAGAGGUGAAACAGAAGCAGAAAGAACUGGACAUUGGAACUAAAUAUGGGUUCUAACCCUGGCACUGAAUCUCACUUGGCCUUGGGCAGGCCACAACCUCUCUGAGGUUCAUUUUCCUCAUUGUAAAUCUCUCCCAGCCCUGCCACUUGUGGUUGGCAGGACGGUCAGGUGAAGUCAUGGAUUUCAGAGGCUUAUUGUUUAAACCAGCAAGGCUCCAGCUGGGAGUUUCCUGUUUAAUAGAGGGAAAGGUUGAGAAACAAAAGAGACUCACUUGGAAAGUGAAAUAGAAUGUUGUAAACAAUUCCAGAUGGAGGAGGAGGCUGUUACUCCCCAGACACUGAAGGAGGGGGGAUCCCAACCACCAAGAAGCCUUCCGGAAGAGUGGUGCCAGCUGGAAGGUCUGCGUCAUCAUCGUCGUCUGGGACUGCUGCACACAGCACUCCUCCAGCGGUCAAGGCAGAAGGAAAAUGUCAAUCCCAGCCCCAGAAUUCAUCCUUUUCCACUCUGGGCCCCAGAAACUACUUGUAGUAGUGCCUCUCUGUCAGAGUGAAGGAGCCAACAAGGGACCUUGGACAAGCUUACUGCUUUCCUCUGAGCCUCAUUUUCAACAUCUAUCAGCCAGGCAAGAAAUCCCUCCAAUUCCCCAGCCCCAGGAGAUCCAGAUGGACAUGGGACAGUUUUGAAGAUAAAUAAAACCUCUAGCCUGUUCUUCUGA
This is a long non-coding RNA of Felis catus (domestic cat), 862 nucleotides long. RefSeq lists it as uncharacterized. Lineage: Eukaryota; Metazoa; Chordata; Mammalia; Carnivora; Felidae. The transcript is spliced from 2 exons. The record is from RefSeq and is a predicted model, not a curated record.